AGAUCAGAAUGUUGGUCGUGCCUUGGUACGUACUGGCAUUAUUGGUUUCUCCCUUCUGACGAACCAUGAUGUCAUUAAUUUGGUGUCGCAGGGAAUCAGGACUGUUACUUUGAAAAAAUUAGAGUGUUUAAAGCAGGCUCACGCUUGAAUACAUUAGCAUGGAAUAACGAAAUAGGACGUUUGAUUCUAUUUUGUUGGUUUCUAGGAUCGACGUA
RNAcentral lists this ribosomal RNA (215 nucleotides) under Campeiostachys nutans. Its description in RNAcentral is "Elymus nutans partial small subunit ribosomal RNA". The stretch from base 38 to 215 matches the Rfam family "Eukaryotic small subunit ribosomal RNA", at positions 685 to 864 of the family's 1831-position model. The record is from RNAcentral. Lineage: Eukaryota; Viridiplantae; Streptophyta; Magnoliopsida; Poales; Poaceae.